RNAcentral lists this ribosomal RNA (468 nucleotides) under uncultured bacterium. RNAcentral's name for it is "partial 16S ribosomal RNA". It matches the Rfam family "Bacterial small subunit ribosomal RNA", at positions 28 to 507 of the family's 1533-position model. The record is from RNAcentral.
GACGAACGCUGGCGGCGUGCUUAACACAUGUAAGUCGAACGGAAAGGCCCUGCUUUUGUGGGGUACUCGAGUGGCGAACGGGUGAGUAACACGUGAGUAACCUGCCCUUGACUUUGGGAUAACUUCAGGAAACUGGGGCUAAUACCGGAUAGGAGCUCCUGCUGCAUGGUGGGGGUUGGAAAGUUUCGGCGGUUGGGGAUGGACUCGCGGCUUAUCAGCUUGUUGGUGGGGUAGUGGCUUACCAAGGCUUUGACGGGUAGCCGGCCUGAGAGGGUGACCGGCCACAUUGGGACUGAGAUACGGCCCAGACUCCUACGGGAGGCAGCAGUGGGGAAUAUUGCACAAUGGGCGGAAGCCUGAUGCAGCAACGCCGCGUGCGGGAUGACGGCCUUCGGGUUGUAAACCGCUUUCGCCUGUGACGAAGCGUGAGUGACGGUAAUGGGUAAAGAAGCACCGGCUAACUACGUG